RNA transcript from Camarhynchus parvulus, 13488 nucleotides. It is a transcript of the gene named gigaxonin, with no coding region annotated. The transcript is spliced from 12 exons. The record is from RefSeq and is a predicted model, not a curated record. NCBI's taxonomy places the organism in Eukaryota, Metazoa, Chordata, Aves, Passeriformes, Thraupidae.
GCCAUGGUGUGAGGGCAGGGACUGAGCCGGCCCGGCCCGGCCCGGCUCGGCGGCGGCAGCAGCACCAUGUCGGGCCCGAGCGCCGUGUCGGACCCGCAGCACCCGGCGCGGCUGCUGCGGGCGCUCAGCUCGUUCCGGGAGGAGACGCGGUUCUGCGACGCGCACCUGGUGCUGGAGGGCGAGGAGAUCCCGGUGCAGAAGAACAUCCUGGCGGCCGCCAGCCCCUACAUCAGAACAAAAUUGAAUUACAAUCCUCCAAAGGAUGAUGGCUCAACAUACAAGAUUGAACUUGAAGGAAUAUCUGUUGAUAUCAUGAAAGAGAUACUAGACUACAUCUUCAGUGGGCAGAUCAGGCUAAAUGAAGAAACUAUCCAAGAUGUGGUACAGGCAGCUGAUCUCCUGCUGCUUACAGACUUAAAAACUCUCUGCUGUGAGUUUUUAGAAGGUUGCAUAGCUGCUGAGAACUGUAUUGGUAUUCGGGACUUUGCACUGCACUAUUGUUUGCAUCAUGUUCACUACCUUGCCUCAGAGUAUCUGGAAACUCACUUUCGAGAUGUCAGCAGCACAGAGGAAUUCUUGGAACUGACUCCUCAAAAACUGAAAGAAGUGCUGUCGAUGGAAAAGCUCAAUGUUGGAAACGAAAGAUACGUCUUUGAAGCAGUGAUUAGGUGGAUUUCUCAUGAUUCAGAAUCCAGAAAGGUCCACAUGAAGGAUGUGAUGUCGGCAGUGUGGGUGUCGGGGCUGGACGCGGCGUAUCUGCGCGAGCAGAUGAUGAGCGAGCCGCUGGUGCGCGAGAUCGUCAAGGAGUGCAACAACAUCCCCCUGACACCCCCGCAGCAGGGAGAGGCCAUGCUGGCCUCCUUCAAGCCCCGGGGCUACUCCGAGUGCAUCGUGACUGUUGGGGGGGAAGAGAGAGUAUCACGGAAACCAACCUCAGUGAUGCGGUGUAUGUGUCCUCUUUAUGAUCCCAAUAGACAGCUCUGGAUUGAACUUGCUCCUAUGAGUAUUCCAAGGAUCAAUCAUGGAGUAUUGUCAGCAGAAGGAUUUUUAUUUGUGCUUGGUGGUCAGGAUGAAAACAAGGGAACGCUAAGCUCUGGAGAGAAAUAUGAUCCAGACACCAAUUCAUGGAGUUCCUUACCACCAAUGCAUGAGGCACGACAUAAUUUUGGUGUGGUAGAGAUUGAUGGGAUUCUGUAUAUUCUGGGAGGUGAGGAUGGUGAAAGGGAGCUGAUCUCUAUGGAGAGCUAUGAUAUUUAUAGCCGGACCUGGACCAAGCAGCCAGACUUGACCAUGGUUAGAAAGAUUGGCUGCUAUGCAGCUAUGAAGAAGAAAAUCUAUGCAAUGGGUGGAGGCUCCUAUGGAAAACUCUUUGAAUCUGUGGAGUGUUACGACCCCAGGACUCAGCAGUGGACAGCAAUCUGUCCUCUCAAAGAGAGGAGAUUUGGGGCAGUGGCCUGUGGAGUUGCCUCUGAGCUUUAUGUAUUUGGCGGGGUCAGGAGUCGUGACGACAGCCAAGCCAGUGAGAUGGUGACGUGCAAAUCAGAAUUUUAUCAUGAUGAGUUUAAAAGGUGGAUUUAUCUAAAUGACCAGAACUUAUGUAUCCCAACUAGCUCUUCUUUUGUGUAUGGAGCUGUGCCCAUCGGAGCCAGCAUAUACGUGAUUGGAGAUCUCGAUACAGGUACAAACUAUGACUAUGUUAGGGAAUUUAAGAGGAGCACGGGCACCUGGCAGCGCACCAAGCCGCUGUUCCCCUCGGACCUGCGCCGGACGGGCUGCGCGGCGCUGCGCAUCGCCAACUGCAAACUCUUCCGGCUGCAGCUGCAGCAGGGAUUGUUCCGCAUCCGCGUACCUUCUCCGUGAGCCCGUGCUGCCAGGGGACCAGACUGGAAGAGUUCUGUGCAGUCCACCAUAAUCUAGCUCUAUUUAAAGGAAAAGCUGAGAAAUUACAGCUGAAAAUUACACUGUAUGCUGUGCUUUGACAAAGUGCCAAGAUCCCAUAUUCAAAAGUGAUGAAUGUUCCUAAGUAUCUGUUUCACUUUGAGCUCAGUUUUCUAAGUGGCUUGGAAAACUUCAGAAAAUGUUAUUCAGAAUAUUGCAGCUGCUAUCUCCCGAGUCCCUGUAGCUUCCCAGUACACUUGAGGGCAUUCAGCAUCCAGAAAACGUAAGUGAUAAAUGCACAUGAUAAACCCAAGUAAAUACUCGAGCGGUGUUUUGCAGUUCAAGUUACUGAACCAAAUGUUUACACUUAGAGUAGGAUUAACACUAGGCGUUCUUAGUUUGUUUUUUUUUAAAGAAAACAUAAAUAAAAGAAACAAAUCUGCUGGUGAUUGGAGCAUGUUGCGAAUGCACUCAGUGAGAUUUGACCAAGAAGUUUAAGCCUCUGUACCUGAACCCGUCAUAAACUGAAUUUCUGAGCACAUUGUACUUGUGUCAUGUUCCACGUGGCUGGGGACCAAGUCUCCAGGGAUGCUCUCUGGGGUUUUGGGGUGUAUGCUCAAGAUUUAGGCACUCCUGAGAUCUCAAAACUGGCUUCCUUGGCCUUGCCUAAGGGGAUGGGACCAUUCCCCUUCUGCAUUGUCUGUGGGACUGAUCCAGGAGCUGUUCUAGCCUCUGUGUGUGCAGGAGGGAAGGGAUGUGCCUUCCUGUCUGUCUUUCUGCCCAGCUCUGAUCUGUGAGUGUAUCCCUUGGAUUGUGCAAUAACCAGGUUCAAUUUCCCUCAGAAUUUGGAGCAAGGCUUUGAAGCCAAGGCUCCCCUUUCUGCAGGGAUUGUACCAGUGGUGGUGUAGGGGUGAAGAGGCAGAGCUCACCUCUGGCUUCUCUUUCUCUUUUCCGAGGGGUGGUUGAUUUCAGAAGGGGAGGGAGGCUGUGAUGGUACCAGAGGUGCUGAGAGGAGGGAGGUCACCAGUUUGCUGAGUGUUGAAUGUGCAAACAGCUGUAGAUUGAACUGGGUUCCCUGGUAAAUGCCACCACUCAGCUGUCCCUGCUCUCUUGGCACUGUGUACCCCUGUGCAUGAUGGCUGAACCACAUGAGAAACAACUCAGGAGUUUUUCUGAGUUGCAGUCCAGGGGUUUUAGGUGGUUUGGCAGCUUAGAAACUUGUUUAAGUUGUCCUUGCUUAGCACAGUGGCCUUAAUUCCUCCAAGCUCAUUGUUGGCACUGACAUUCAGCCAGGUCCUCCACAGGUGACAGUUUGAAUGUGUGUCCUGGCCAGCUGUCCAUGCAGGAUGAGGACUGGCUGGGCCACCUUGAGCUUGAGGCACUUGGGCUGGCCCUCUGCAUCUGUUUUCCUUUCCCUGGUGAGGAAUUGGACCAACCCCAGGUACUGAAAUCAGAAAAUCACCAAAUACAGGGUAGGAAUUGUGGAAGAUGGGAUGAGUGGUGGCUUUUUUCUCCCCUUAAUCCAUCUCUUCCCACAAUUCUCCCAAGAAAAGUUUCUUCUUCCUUUUUUUCAUGUGCCACAGAUAAUUUUAGAAAAAUUCUGGAAUUGUCAAUUUUAGGGGAAAAGUGGGGGAAAAAUAUAUAUACUACUGUAAGCACACAGCAGUGUCCUCUGUGCUUGUUUUACACUUGUAGCCUUGUGGCUGCUCUGCACAGCAGAGGGAGAUUACAGAAGCAAAGGUGUAAAGUGCUGUUGCUCUCAUAACAUAAAUCCCUUGAGUUUCUGAGGGAGUCACAUGCCUGGCCUGGCUCUGUUCCUUACCUGGCCUUGACAGAUGCUUAUAUUCCUAAAGAGUCUGGGUUAGAUUUCAGAUCUCUCCCUUGCUGGUUUUAUAACUUGAAGAAGAGGCAUCCUGAAAAGUCUUCUGUUUUGCUGUACCAUAGCAAGGUCUAAUUGUCCUUAAAUAUUUUGUCAGCUAAUCCUUAAAUUUUAGUUAUUGUUAAAGUGUCAACCCACCUGCUUCUGGUCAAGUGAAUUUCUGUAGCUUUGAGGGUACUUCAUCUUUAAAUUGAAGGCAACUUAAUACAAAGUUACACAAGAGGACAGAGGUGAAUGUGAAACCAAAAGAAGCUCAAAAUCAGCUCACUGAUAGCUGUGGGCAGGCUGUGUCCCUGGUGUUUGCACAGCACGUGCCUGGCACACAGCCUGCCUUCAGGAGCAGAGAUCUUGAUAUGAAAAUAAGGCUUUUAUCAAAGCUACUGAACCGCCUGGCUUCUGAACUCCCCCUCCAGAACACACCAGGCAGCUUGGGUUGCUUUGCAAUAUUUCUGGUGCCUGCAUGUCUCAGUAAAUGCACAAGUACAGAAAGAGGGGUCUGGGGAGGUUUUCCCCUGUUUUAACUGCAGUUUCUCUGUUUGUUCCAUAAAUGCUGUGCAGGGGCUCUGCUACCAUGCAUGUGCCAUGCAGAGUGGAGGAUGCAAUAACAAAUCCAAAUUGUUACAAGUGCCAAACUUUUGGGUUCUUCUGUGUAUAACAAUAAUUCAACUGUUCUACUAAAAUACAGAUAUGCUUAAAAUUCACUGUGUUCCAAAAAAGAGCAGUGGGUCUUUUUUUUUUUUUUAAUGGAUGCUAUUGAAAGCAAUGUAAAUCUACUUUUUUUAAAUGCUGUUCUGCAGGUUUGUGUUACUCUUCACAGCUGCCUUGAGCAUCACUCCAUGUGAUGCAUAUGGACACUUUGCUCUUUACUAGAGCACUGGUGCCACGCAAGUAUAUAAUACAAGGCAGCUGACAACAGGCUUUAGUAUUUAAAAUUAUAACUGUUUAGAUUAAGUGCAAUUUGUUUGCAUUUAUCGACCUGCAGAAUGAAACUGUGCCUCGGGAAAUGUGGCUGUGCCCAGGGACACAGGCAGACUGACCAUUGUAACUAAGGUGUGGUUUGGUGCCACUCACAGCAAUGCUUUCCAAGGAAUUAUAUUUAAUUUAGUGUUAAAUGGAUCCUUUCUGCCUCUAAUUUAGCACUGAGGAUUUGGGGGUUGUGUUCUCUUUAGCUCUUUGGAGCACUUAAAUGGCUACUUCAGGUGGGUGGGAGGGGUGUUAAUUGCAUCCGUGUUUGUAGAAGCUGCUAUUUCCAUCUUCCCAAAGGAGUAUUUCCUUUUCCCGUUCAGGACUGAGUACAGGCCUGUGUUUCGGUCGUCACUGCUGCAGCCUUUUGACAUUUGCCAUUUUCUGAUGCUCUUCCUUGGUUUUUUUUGGAGCUGUGUUUCCAGGGCACAUGGUCUGUGAGAGAAAAGCACAGGGCUUGGGAAGGUGAGCCAGUAAAAUCGAAAGGCAGUGGGGUUUGGGGAAGCUGCUCAUUUUCUGUGGGGGUCACCUCUGUGUGCUCUGAAGUUCAUUAAUAAGUUUGGCAUCUGCUCUCCAUCAUCCCCAUGGGUUUUGGUGUGGGGGUUUUUUUCUCUUUUUUUUUUCCCUGGGAAAUUCCUUGCUGUAGGAAGGAUUGCAGGCAGGGUUUAAGGUGACACCUCUGACCAGCCAUGCCCAGUGUGACUCUGCAGUCUGACUGCUGCUGUGCUCCAGCAAUCAAUUCCCCCAAAAUUAUGAUUAACAUGUUACCUAAAAACAUAGACUAAAGCCAUUCAGUACCCAGCUAGAUAAACACCUGUUUAAAAGGAUUAAGGGUAAUAAGAGAAUUAAACUAUGAGCCACUACCAACAGGUGGUUAUGUUGAAAAUUUAUUGAUAAUAUCAAAUCUGAAUAAUAUUUUUAAUUACUUAUUCUAAGUACCUGCUUUUUAGUUAUAAAAGUAUUUGCAAUACAUAAAGGACUUGUAUAGAAUAAUAUUUGGAGGUUAUUUGAAAUAAUCUAUUGAAAUGUCUUGAAAAGUGAGAUGGAAGAUUGGAGCUUUUCAAUGGAAAAAGGCUAAAUCUUGAUGCCCAGCAGUUUUGCAGGGUUUCUGAGCAGAGAACACCUGCCAGAGCACUUUAGUCCAUGAAGCUGCUCAAUGCCACUGCCUACCUGUGCCCUUGAAUUUGCAUAAUGAAAUGAGACUGUUCUGAGCCCUGGUAAAAGCUGUCAGGUCUGAUUACAAUAAUAGAAAGAAGCAUCCCCUCUGUAAUUGGUGUUAUUUUAUUGAUAAAACAUUAAUUUAUUUUUUUGUUUUAAUACUGGGGGUUUUUGAAUUACCACCUUAGGCACUUAUUUAAAUUUUUUUUCUUAAUUUAUUUGACUUUCCUCCAUUUCUUUUGAGUUAAAGCUGAGACAACCUCAGUUUUUGUCGAGGUCAAGUUUCUUUCAUCUGUAGCUCUAAACCCUGUCAGAGCCUGACUGACCUCCUGCCACCAGCUGUGCACUUGUUUCUCAAGUGUCAUUUCUGUGCAUUCUGUUAUUGGGCUGCCAAUUUCAGAACAGAAAAAAAAAACCCUGUGGAACAAAUUUGUACCUGAUGAAAGCAAAAGCCAUUUUGGAAAGUUUAAAUUUCCAUCUGCAGUUUAAAUUUCAUCCAGUGUGCUACAAAAAACCUGAUCCUUGGCUGGGCUUGAGGUCCUCUCCUGAACGACCUCACAGGCAAAAGCUUUGGGUUUUAUUAAUCUGCUUUAUUAAUUUACACAUGAUAACAGGAAAGCAUUAUCAUCCCUGUCACUUGUUUCACUGUUUUUAUGUAGUAAAAAGCAAAGCCUGCUUAUUUAUUACAGUGAAUAAAGCAGUGCACAGGGGUAUCUGCUGAGGUGAUCAAGUUAAACACAGCUGACAUUCUGUAAAGCUCUUGCUAUCGUUUCUUUCUGAAGGGAAGCCAGGGGGUGCCCUCUUUAGAAAUGCCUUCAAACCCUUUCAGAGUUGGUCUUAAACUAGUCCAAAGGACUCCUUUGGGUUGCCUAGAGAACAUGAAGUCUGUUCUAGCUUUUGUUUGCUUGGGGAAACACCUGCUAAGUCAAUUUUAAGCUUUUUUUUUUUUGAAUCCUUGAUUUCCAAAACCUGAGUAGUUUGCUUCUUGCAAUUGAAACAUGUUAGUGUUUAAGGGUCUGCAUUUUGCAAUGCAUGGUGAGUGUUCUGUCCUAUCUUGGCUACAUGACGUAGACAGCAAGCUGUGUUCUGGGGGGCUCCUGGAAGCGCCUAUACAGUGCUGAGGGGUGGAGAAGGUUCAGUACAAAAUUCUCCUUACACUGCACAAGCCUUGCUGUGAGUGUCAGGUGGAACAAAAGGCUGAGCUUGGUACAGAACUCAUGGAAUUGCCACCACUGACUGCCCUCAGUGUUGGGGCCCCAAAGCCCAUCAGGGGCAGGUCCUGGGUGUUCCAUGCACAAUGUUUCCUCUGGCCUCAGGUGUUUUCUCUUUUGUUGUUAUUAACAGGAUUUCGCUUUCACUCUCCCUCUGAACACGCAGCCUGUGCCCGUGGGCCUGGGAGCACAACUCCUGUGGGCCAGAGGGUGGCCACCCAACUUGCUCCCCGUGGCUUUUGCACAUCUCUGCACAUCAGUGUGUGUGGGGACAGUGCUUAGUACACAAUGAAAUGACUUUCCAUGGAGCUUGUAAAACUGCUGCCAGCAGGUCACAGAUCACCUGAACCCCUGUAAGCAGAGCUGCAGGUAGAGCAGGUGUAGCCCAGUCCCUCAUGUGUGUCACUGUGGCUGGAAGCCUGGCGCCUUGUCCUGGGGGGAAAAGCCCCUAUGCCCAGCUACCUCAUUUUUACUUUCUUUGCACUUUGUCAGAUAUUUUUUGUUUUGUUUUGUUUUAAAUCGCAUUUUGUCCUUCAAUUAAAAAAAACCUAAAAGCAGACAAGAAGCAGGACAGAAUGGUAUCAUUGCCCAAGGACAGUUUAAUUUCAUUUUAAAUUAAUGUUUCUGUACAAAAAGACCAAGGUUGACCUGCAGCUGCUGUAAAAAGUAAAUAAAAAUUUCUAUUACUUGAUAGUAACUAUUAUACUUGGAAAUGAGAGUAGCAAUUAAAAGGCUGUCCUGAUGAUUUUUAAAUAGGAAGAGAUCUGUUUAAAAAAUAGAAGUCUCUGCUCUUUUAAGGCUAGAUCAGAUAGUUUUCUCUCUGCCUCUACUCUGCUCUCACUGUUUUGCCUGUGAACUUGAUACAUUAUCUCAAUAGAGAAAUUCACUGAUUUUUCUGUAAUGUCUAAUUAGAUAUUUUUUCUGUAGAGUUCCCCAUUUAAUCACCUGCAGAGGAAAAACUGUUCAAAUCAAUACCCACUUUCCAUACCUGAACUUGUCAUUGACCAUUUCUUUGUAAUCUUCAGGUAUAUGGAGCUUUGCUUAGAUUGAAAAAGUUUUUUAAAAGGUGUCUUUUCUUCUGCUUCUAAAGGUGCUAUUUUGACAUAGAUUUGAAUUCCUUACACUGUGCUUGACUUCUAAAAGUACCAAUAUAAGCUGGUAAUCAGCUUGUGUUUGUUCUGUGGAGUUUUUCUUUGAGUAUUCAAUCUCUAUUUUGAAAAGCAUCCCUUUUCAUAAAGAUGGCUUCCAAACUGUCAAAGGCCUUAAUAAUACAAAAUGUAAUGGGAAAAUGCUACUUUUUUCCUUUCUUUGUAAAGGCAAAGCCAAGAAAUGCUUCAUGGAGAACAUCUUCCUCUAAAAUUUUGAGGAGCAGCUUAUACUAACUUUGACUUCAAUGUAGCAAACAUUUUAGUGGCCAUGCACAAAUAGUAGGGGUGAAACAAGGAGCUAUUCAUAACUCUGCAGACUGUACCAAUUAGCUGCUAAUUCCAGAGCCUUCCAUUAGCAUCAUGGUGGCUAUUCCAUAAAUAUUAAUCUUCCCAGGACGUGGCUGUGUGUCUGGGACACACUGACCCAUGUGGCUGGCAGAUCAUUGGGAUGUUGGGCCUGGUGUGGGGUUUGUCUCAGACCCCUCCUGCUCAGCCCCCCAGGGUUUGGGUGCCACAGGUGCUCAGGAGGAAGGAGGAGAGAAGCUCCAAGUGCUGCCAUUGCAGUGACAUUGGGCACUCUGAGGAGAGGCUCUUGUAGACACAAGCCAUGGAGGAGAGAGCUGAAUUUUAGUCCUGCACAGGAACUUUGUUGUUGUCCUUUUUGUGCUGUCUUUAUUUUUGUUUGAUCUGUGUCAUCAGUUUGGUUUCGGCAUUUGGUAACACUGCUACAGGAAGCUUUUUUUUUCUCUGAAACACAUAAAGUCCUAUUCCUGCCCUGUCUGAAGCAGCAGGAAGGAUCAAGGGUUGAUGUUUGAAUUUGUCCCAUCUCAGACAGCAGGUUAUUUAUUGCCUUCUUGUAGGCUCUGCAGUCCCAGUGCUGUAGCAUUUCUCAGUUGUGUUACUCUAAGAGCCCUUUAGCCUUUUGAAAAGAGUCCAGAGACUGCCUUGUCCUUUUCCUGCUUCACAUAUUGGGUGCUGCCCUCUGGACCAUCCAAACUCAUCCAGGCUGUCACUGCAGAGGAGCCACCGGUUGGUGGCCUCACAGGAGUAUCUGUGUUACCUGCAGUACUUCUGAAAAACAGCUGAUAAAUGAGGGGCCAUGGAGAAACUCUACUGAACUUGCAAAUUCCUGAUCCUCUCAUUCUAGGGAAGGCUGAGGAGCAGCAUCGUUCCUUGCCUCGCAGCUGCUCCUUGCUGCACAGGUAAGGAUGAGUCCACACUGUCCUUAUGAUAUAAAGAUUUAUGGGCUAUUAUAGGAGAUCCACUAUUUUGCAUUUGUUGUAUUUAAAUCUGAAACUUCUGGAGCUAUGGAACUGUGGGUUCUGGAACUAUGUCUGCAGUGUGGAACCACAGGUGCUGGCCUAAAGAGCUGGGGAGCUUCUGGCCACCUGUUUUUCCACUGCACUUUUUCUUUUUUUGAGAAACCACAGAUGUGAAACUGCAUCCCAGUUCGUAUGCCCACUGCUUCACAAUCCAGAGUGGGACCCUGAUAAACUGGAAUUGUUUUACCUUCAGAAGGAAAAACUAAAAUUUCUUCACAUUAGAUGCUCUAUCUUCAGAGUUUUCCCUCGGUAAACCAUAUUUAUUGAGUCCCAUGAAUCUUGUGGGAUUGGGUUAAAGAAUAUGAAUAUGUAUUAUAAGAAUGAUAACUAGUGUAGUUAGUCUGACUUUGUGCAGUACAAAUAGUCUCUUAUAUCUUAAGAGAAUGAAACAGCUAUUGAAUAAUCCAAUUAUGAUAUCUGUAUUCCAUGAACCAAGUAAUAGGAGGGUGUUGGAAUGUGAUGUCACAUUGCUGCCACUCUCCUAAAGGUUCAAUGUUCUGUCAAAUCUAAGAUCUUGAUAAUUACCAGGAUAUUGUCAGAAUAUAUUGCCACCUUUUCUACAAGAGGCAUAUUGGUGUGGUGAGGGAAAAGCACUCACCUUUUCUUUACAGCUGGACAGCAAGGGUUACCCCCAUCAUCCAGCUGUCCUGCUCUGACUCCUGUAUUACAGAUGUGGUUACUGUUACAGGCUUUUUAUGUGAGUACAUGUUCUGUGGGUCCUGUGCUUUGUGUGGGAAUGGAGCUUUGGCUUUUAUAUGUCAUCCCCAAAAUCUUUAGAAAUUAACUGAUUAAUCACUCGGGGGCAGGGUUUGGAAUGCUCUGAUCGGAGUAUGUUGAGUUACUUCUGUUUAAAACAAGGAAAAAUAAGACAUAAAUGCUCUUUGACCUCAAUCAAACUAUGCAAUACAGCACACCAGAGAGCUGAAUUCCUUGUGAUACAGAAGUGCAGCUCCUGUGUCCUUCCAAACCCAGUCCUUGGUCCAAGGUUAGGAGAGCUUGUACUCAAUGGCUGCCCAAGAAUCUCGUAUCCAGAUCAACUCUAGUUCACUGCUUUUGCUCCUGCCCCCUUGCCUGGCCCAGCAGUUUAGCUGGGUCAGGUUGUUGGGUGUUUUGGCUCGGGAUGAUGUGAUCUCCAUGUGUGUCCCUCCUGUUGUCCCAUGGUGUUGUUGGCUGGAGCUUGUCCUGUAACCCCCCCAGUGCAGCUUUACCCUCUGGGGCCACUUCACCACGUUUGCACCUCCCUGCCCUAGAGCAUGUCAGGUUUGGGGUUUGCUGUGCCCCCUGGGUUGAUGUUGUCUUGCUUUCCCUGUGUCAGUCAGUUGUGAAUUUGGUGCUUACAGUGAAGAAUCCCUGUGAUGUCUCCAAUCAGUCCAAGUACGUUUUCAUUUCUGCUGCUUCUGUGUGAGUUUGGUUUUUUUGCUUCUGUGGCAAUUCAGCGAUAAAUGCCCAUGUGGUCAGGACUGCUGGUAAAGGUUCUUUGUUCUCCCAUUGCUUCAUUUUUCAAAUGAAAUUUGUUCCUUGUGUUCCUCUUCUUCCCCCUGUUAAAAAACGGGUACAGUUUUUGCUGGUUCUGUCUCCUGUGAGGAGCUCUCCUCUCCCAGGUGAUCCUGAAUUCUUCAGUUACUUAACCCACCCUGGACCUCAUACAGUUUCUGCCUCCUAACUCCCUUUACUAUUUUGUCUAUCUUUAAUUCAGAUUGACCUCAAUUUCUUUCUCUGAUUCCAAACAGAGAUUUUGGUGCAUAGCCUGGGAGACAAGCAGGAAAGCUCUCUCUGUGUACAUCCAUUCCCUCCCCAGCACAUGCAGUGUAAGGGGCUCAGCCUGUUCCAUUCCUUCCCCCAGGUUUUUCCUAGUGCUAAGCAGACCACAGGCUGAAGCCAUUUCUUAUUUCUUUUGGUAACUGAAAAUACUAGGAGAUUUUCUUCUUCAGAAAUAGCCACUGCAGAUGAGCAGCUGGCAUGAGAGAGGGUUGUUAUGCUUCCAUAUUCAGUAUUUUUAAUUGAGGAACAAAUAAUUUAUUUUGGGGAAAAUGUAAAUUUUUUUGUAUUUGUACGUCAAAGUGGCCUUUAUAGAAAAGCACAUAAAAAUAUUUAGAUUAAAAUUGCUUAGUUGUGUAAUUUCAGUGGGGAUUUUUGUAUUGACAGGGUUUCUAUGCAUUUUUCAAAAUAUACUUGCUGUUUUGUGUUAGAAUUAUUGGAAAUCUUUUAAAAAACAUGUAUUACCACAUUUUCCAUAGUUGAUCCCUUUACUAUCAUUCCUUUUGAAUACUAAAAAGAUUUUAAUUAACCCUGUAAAUUAAUUUUCCCCACAAAUAUUUGCAUUAAGUCAAUAUAAUGAGUUAUAGCAUGGGUAUGUAGCUUUAAGGGAAUAAGCCUAGUAGUGCAGCUUAAUUCUGGAGAGAUGUGUUUGCAGAAGGAUGGUACAGCAGCGUUUCAAUUGCACUUAAAACACUAAAUUAGGAAAUUAAGUUUUUGCUGUACCUCACUAGGGUUUUAUUAAACCAUGUCCAUCCUGUAUUGUUUACACUUGAGCAUUAUUUAACUGUGUAUUAUUUGUGCAGUUUGCAGUUCUCUGUUCUGUCAGGAUUAUGUGAACAUUAACAGGUAGGAAAAGUUUUGGAGUGUGUGGUGUCCUCGUGGGUUUGAUGUGAGUUUGGGGAGGGAGGAGAGAGGAAAGUUAGAUCCAUUAGUGUAUUUUUCCAUUUAAUUAUGUACACAUUUUCACAUUAGAUGAGGCUGAAUAACCGAAGUUACAAUUGAACUGUGAGUAAAAUCAGUGGUUUGGGGGUGGGGGAAAUGAAGGGGUUGCAGAACUUCAGGCAAAAACCCUUCAGUUGCACUGUGGUACAACUGCCCUGACUGCCUGUGCAAAGCAGAGCCCGAGGGGACACAUCAGACCCAUCCAUUUUUCUGGUUUUACUUUCUCUUCUCAAGGUGUUGCUGCAAGGUUUGCUAAGUAGGACCUUCCCAGGAAUGUCUAUCAACUGAGACUUGAGUUUUAUCAUUUUAUGUUUGUAGUUUUAAUUUUCGUUCUUGUUUCUGUUUCAUAGGAGAUCCCACAUGUUCACAGGUUAGUGUAAGUGCAGGCUUUCAGGUGUAGCACCAAAUGAGCGUUUCAUGCAACCAUGCAUUCUGUAAUUAAAGAAAAAUGUGCAAUUCUAAUGGCACUUUGACCCAUUGCUGAAACACUGGGUUUUGCAAUUGAACAAACUCAAAAAUUGAAAACACUCUGUGUCUUCAUUAGAUGUCUUGAAGGUGAAGCAAAAGGCAGUUACUCCAGUUGUACCCAUGAUAAUUUCGUAUAUUUUUUUAAUAUAGUUUUAUGGUCUGUUUUUAGAAAAACACUCAUUUCUUAGUUUACUUUAGUUGCCAUAAAUUGCCCAGUGCAGAGUCUGGUCCACCUCCAUUCACUUAUUUUCAUGGAAUAGUUGCACAAAAACUGAUAACAGCAAAGUAGGAAAGCUCUUUGGUUACUCACCAGUAGCUUCCCUUGCAGAAUUGCUUUGUGGCUCACACAUGGUAUGAAAAGGGACACGGGAAUUUUCCUGGAUUCAGUAGCACUCGCUUUGUUUACGUGUUCAGUAGAACAUUGGGUGACUAAAGGGAGGCUCCCUUUUUAAAGUAUUUGACUUGUGCUUUGAGGACUUAGUUGCCACUGUGCAAAUUGUGCUGUAAUAUUGUACCAAGGAUCAGUGAAAGUGUUUUAUCUUUUUUAAUGUCGUUUGUAUUUGACCGGGUUUUAUAAAUGUAAGAAAACAGAGUGUUGUAUUUUGAUCUGAAAUUUGCGUAUGGUAAAAGUAACUUUGCUUUAUGUAUUGGAGGUUUGUUCAGAACUUGAAUCAUUUUAUAGAAGGGUACAGACCAAAAUUAAUUGUCUUAAAGGUGUUUAAUAAAUUAACCAAAUAAAACAUUGAUUGUUUGAAAACUUG